CCGAGAAAAUCUCUCUCAAAAUAGUUUGUUGCAUUUACUUCAGAGAUUCAAGAGUUACAAUUUCCAUGCCCUUGUCGCAUUCACUUGAGAGUUCAAAAGCAUUUCCAUAUAGUCAUUUGGCUUGAACUCUUAAUAGCUACGGCUAUUAUUGCUUUUACAUCACUUGUUCAAAUAUGUGGAUGCUGCUCGAAUAAUUAAGCUGACAGAUACAUAAUUGAUUUUUGCCCUUCAAACAGAUAAUUGAUAAGUCAUGUCAGAGUUUUGGUGGUGAUGUACUGCAAGCUCUAUUCCAUUCAGCAGAUGGAAUUGCAAAUUCUUCACCAGAAAACAUGUAAAUCUGGCUGUGGAGAUUUAUUUCUGAUGAAAUGUUAGCAGUGGCUUCUUCAAAUAUCCUUAUCAUGUUGUAUUGGUCUCUAUCUGUAUAAUUGGUUACCCUUGAGUCACUGUAGUUCCUUAACUAAUCGUACUUAUCGAUUCAUAUAUGUUAUUAGCUCAGGCUAUUACUUUGUCAACAUGUAUUGUUGCUCAUAACAACGCAUUGUUCUGUAUGCUUGUGUCAAGUAAUUUCGCUGAGAUAAAAAGCAAUGUGUUUAAACGCUACAGCAAGGAUAAUGUCCACAGUUUGGUAUAUUUUGUUAUAUCUUUCGGAGUGCACUUGUUGUUUAUGUAUGUGAGGUGAUGAUGGAUAUAAUAAAGCACUCGUUCAUUGCUAAGUUCAAUAACAUAAAGCCCAUUGCAUUAUCCGAAUUUCUGGAAGAUCUUUGCAAACAGACACUAAAUAUGCAAAUGGAGAAUGGGAAGAAAAAUCUCACUUUUGUUCCAUUGGCACCAGCUGUGUGGUAAUUCGAGUUCUUCGUCCAGUUUAUGCUGCUCAUCUUCCAUAUAGUCCCCCCUGCAUGGAGAAUAUUUUGGAAUUUUCUGUUAUUCGUCAUGACCUUAUUGAUGAUUUCAAGUCUUAAGGUGAUGAUUAGCAUGGUCCUUAAAAAACAUGCCUUGUGGUUUGUUAAUAGAUGCCAGAAAAGAAUGUUGAAAAUUUGUUCAAAAUGAAUGGAAUGAUAAUAUACUUAUUAUUG
Long non-coding RNA from Olea europaea var. sylvestris, 1073 nucleotides. RefSeq lists it as uncharacterized. The transcript is spliced from 4 exons. The record is from RefSeq and is a predicted model, not a curated record. NCBI's taxonomy places the organism in Eukaryota, Viridiplantae, Streptophyta, Magnoliopsida, Lamiales, Oleaceae.